Long non-coding RNA from Anolis carolinensis (green anole), 2058 nucleotides. Lineage: Eukaryota; Metazoa; Chordata; Lepidosauria; Squamata; Anolidae. The record is from Ensembl.
AUGUCAACCACGCGUUUUAAACGGUGCACUCAGUGUGCCGCUAAGAUUCCAGAUUCCGACGGCCACGCUAAGUGCCUUUUCUGCCUUGGCGAAAGCCACGUCGUCGGUACCUGCCGUUUUUGCCUGGCCUUUACAGCUCAGGCCAGAAGAAAUAGAGCUGCGAGACUCAGUGCAGCUCUUUACGAAAAAACUCUUGCUCCUGAGGCUUCCACUUCCACCUCGGCCUCGAUGGCGUCCAGGCCUGCUCCGUCGGUAUCAUCUAAAACCUCAAAAACUUCGAGACCGCGACCGACCAAACCGCCCUGCACGGUGUCCACCGCUACGGUAUCCACCCGGUCGGGCAAGAUGGGCCCUUCAUCAACUUCGAGUUCGGUGGCUUCGGCCAUUUCCACUCGAUCCCGCCUGGCUUCGCCGCCAUCUUCUUCCACCAUGAAGAUUGCCUUCAAGAGGGCUCAGGAGGAAUCCAGACGGGCUCAAUCUGACUCGGCAGCUGUGUGCCCGAUUCCCCUGACGCCGGGAAAAUCGCUGAGGGUCGCGUCGAAACAACCCCCAGCAAAGAAACGAAUGAUCCAGAGGUCGUCCUCCUCAGCGUCUUCGAAGAAGGACGUCCCCUCCUCUGGGCCUUCCUCUAGGAGAUCCUCUCCUAUCCAACCAGCACAACGCCUCCGCUCCUCUUCCUCUCCUCAUGGUCAGUCCUCGGAUGCGGACGCUCAAGCCUCCCCCGACCGGUCGGUCAGGACGGUUAUUAAGGCUCCCCAGCCAGCACCAUCUCGCCUUCCGGCUCGACAAGAACUUUUUCCCCCGGCUCAAACACCCGAGAGGGAUAGACAAAUGACGCGCUUAGCCCGUGCCGCCCAGGCUUCCGCGUCCAAGGGCGUCCGUCCACAGCCGGCUCCCCCUGCUCCUGAGGUGAUACCUCAUCAGGACUCUGUGCUUGUUUCUCCUCCCCGGUCCCCUCAAGGGCCCGAGGAGGAUGACCCCGAUAUCGAACGCCCCGAGUCGAUACUCUCCGCCUCCGUUGUCUCUCUCUGUCUCGACCUCUCCCCGCCUCACGACGCCUACGAGGUCAACCCACCUUCCCCGACGGAUAAUAUUCGGGCUUUCUCCGACCAGAUGGUCAGAAUGGCAGACGCUCUGGGGAUGGAAAUUAAACAAACUUCAAAGGCCGUUACCGACCCCGUUUUCAAGAGGGUUCAAGCCCAAGCCCCGCCAGCCACCUUGCUGCCUUUUCUUCCAUACCUCCUGGACGUCAUCCAGGCAUUUUGGAAGACUCCAUCUUCGAUACCUCCAACCUCUAAGAAAAUAGAGGCCUGGUACCGAACCGAUGACGAAGCCUUGGAAUGGCUCAAGCAUCACCCUGACCCAAACUCCAUGGUGGUAAAGGCCUCCCAAUCGUCGGGUCGACACUCCAACUCCCCUGCCGACAGAGAGGGCAAACGCUUCGAUGCGGUAGGCCGCAAGCUGUACUCCGGUGCUCUCCUCCUUUGCCGUAUGGCAAACUACGGGGCCUGCAUGGGCGCUUAUCAACAGAUCCUCUGGGAGAAAGCCCAACCCUUCUUCGCCAAGCUUUCUGACGAAGACCGGUCAGUCCUUUCGACCCUCCAACAGGAGGCGGACUCUCUCGCACACCACCAAAUUCAAAUGGCUAAGCAUACCGGUGAUACCGCCGGAAAAAUGAUUGCCCACGCGGUCGCGAUCAGACGGCAUGCAUGGCUUCGGUCCUCAGGACUCUCUUCUUCCUCUCGACAAGUGAUCGAAGACCUUCCUUUCGACACCCAGGGCCUUUUCAAUUCUGGCACUGAUGACAAACUUAAGUCCAAUCACGACUUCAAGAUUCUCGCAGCAAAGUGCGGGACCGAUCAACCUCAGGCUCAGCGGACCCGAUGGUUCCCACAACGGUACCGUCGCUACCCUCAGCCUUUUCGUCACCAGCCGUUUCGACGCUCGUCGAGCUCGAGUCACCACAGUCAUCAGCAACAACCUCGCCGCCAGCACCAGGUCCCAAAAGGUCGGGGCAAAGGUCCUGCAGCUAUGCCACAACCCCAACGACGGGCCUGA